AGAAAAGUCUUAAUUAAUUUAUUAUUUUUUUUAUAAAAUAAUAAAUAAAAUUUGUUAAUUUUUAGUUUAUAAUUAAUAAAAAUAUUUUUUAAAAAGUUUUAGUUCAUAAAAAUAAAAUAAUACAAUUAAUUUUAUAGAUUAGAGUAAAGAGAUUGAAUGUUGAAAUAUAAUUGAAAGAGUAGGAUUAAUUAAAAAAUAAAUUUUAAAUGUUUAUUUAUUUAUAAUUUAAAGAAAUUUAAAAAUUUUUGAAUUUUAUUGUAUAAAAAAUAUAAUAAAAAGAUUUUUAAAAAUUAAAAGUUAAUUGUUCUUAAAGUUAUAUAAUUUUUAAAGAAAUAGAUUUAAUCUAAGUUAAUUUUUUAUUAUUUUUAUAUUUUAUAUUAUAUAAAUAAUUUUGAAUUAAACUAAUAUUUUAAGGGUUGAGCUUUAAAAUAAAUAAUUAAAAAUUUUUAUUAUUAUUAUUAUUUGUAAUUUUAUAAAUUAAUUUAAAAAAAAAUAAUCUUAGAAAUAGAUAAUUUUUAUUAAAAUGUUUUAAUUAAUUUUAUAUUUUAUUUAUUAUUUAAUUUUGGUUUUAAUUUUUUAUUUAAAAAAAUAUUAUAUUUAUAUAAAUAUUUUUAUAAUAAUUAAAUUAGUAAAUUUAAUUAAUUUAUGUUUAUACAUAUGUGUAUAUAUAUAUUAUAAAAAUGAAAUUAAUUUUAAUAUAAUGAAUUCGGCAAUAUUAUUUUCAACUGUUUAACAAAAACAUUGUUUUUUAAAAUUUUUAAAAAAUAAAGCCUGCACACUGAAUUGAAGAGCCGCGGUAUUUUGACCGUGCAAAGGUAGCAUAAUCAUUAGUUUUUUAAUUGAAGACUGGAAUGAAAGGUUUAAUGAGAAAUAAUCUUUAUUAUAUUAAUUUAAAUUGAAGUUAUUAUUUUAGUAAAAAAACUAAAAUAUGAAUAAAAGACGAUAAGACCCUAUAAAGCUUUAUAUAAUUUAUAUUAAAAAUUAUUUUAGACUAUUAUAAUUUUUAGCUAUUUUAUUUAUUUAAUUGGGGUGAUUUAAAGAUUUAAAAAACUCUUUAUAAAGUGUUUUAUUUAUAAAUAAAAUUUUUUUUGAUCUUUAUUAUUUGGAUUAAAAAAUUAAGUUACUUUAGGGAUAACAGCGUAAUUUUUUUAGAGAGUUCUUAUCGAUAAAAAAGUUUGCGACCUCGAUGUUGGAUUAAGAUAUAAUUUUAGGUGUAGAAGUUUAAUUUUUUAGUCUGUUCGACUAUUUAUUCUUACAUGAUCUGAGUUCAAACCGGUUUAAGCCAGGUUGGUUUCUAUCUUUAUAAAUAAAAUUAUAUUAUAGUACGAAAGGACCUAGUAUAAAAAUAUAAAUUUUUUUGUUAUGCAUAAAUUUAAUUUAAAAUAAAAAAAUGUAAGUUUAUAUAUACAUAUAUUAAUGCUUUAUAUAUUUAUAUAUGUAGAGUAUAUUAAAUAAUUUUAUUAA
This 1464-nucleotide ribosomal RNA is filed under the name Polypedilum yongsanensis. Its description in RNAcentral is "16S ribosomal RNA". Lineage: Eukaryota; Metazoa; Arthropoda; Insecta; Diptera; Chironomidae. The record is from RNAcentral.